Molecule: non-coding RNA, 756 nt
Organism: Misgurnus anguillicaudatus (oriental weatherfish)
Lineage: Eukaryota; Metazoa; Chordata; Actinopteri; Cypriniformes; Cobitidae
Source: RefSeq, a predicted model, not a curated record
GAUAACAGUGAUUCGAGAUGCUCCGGGAGAAAUUAAUCUAUCUUGUUUAAUAUUCUUUGCAGGUAAGAUUAAUUCGAGUAUAUAACAAGUUAAAGGUGUCUUUGAAUGGUUGUCAUUAGUGUUUAACGUUUUGAGUGAGUUUUGAACAACAAAACUGUAUUUUAAGUACUCGUGAAUGUAAUACGAACUGAAGUAACUAUCUUGAAAGUUCCUUUUAAAAACAAAGAUUGCUAUUUCACAGAGAGAGAAAAAAUGCAAUUAUGUUGUUACUUGAAUUUUGAUGGUAAACAACUAUUUGACAGUACCGUGAGUUCAGUAAUGCACACGGAGUUCGCGGGUGUCCGCCAUUUUGUUUCAAGUGAAUGUUGCCAUGGUGAUAGUGUUAAUAAUUGAAUUGUAAAUGAGAUCAUAUGUUUGCGUAUGAAACAAGAGUAAAGAAAUAUGACAGAAAAUAACUCAUAUGAUGUUGAGGUUGUUUUGAGCAUAUAAAUAGUGCUUAAAUAGACAAUUUAUGGUUUCUAAAAGAAUCUUUAAAAGACAAAAGAUAAUCUAAUGUGAAAUGACAAUCUAAUGUGAAUACUACUACUAUAGGCUGAAUCAAAACCUGCAAGGCUAAAGUUGAUUUUGCGUGAGAAAGAUGUUGAAAACUCUGAAUAAUCUUGGCAUUCUUCAAUGAGUAAUUGUUCCAUUUUUAUGCAAAUAGUGUACUCUAUGAAUUCUGUGAAUAAACAAAUAUUUAAAUAUAUUUAUAACAUU